Molecule: ribosomal RNA, 460 nt
Filed under: uncultured bacterium
Lineage: Bacteria
Description: partial 16S ribosomal RNA
Rfam family: Bacterial small subunit ribosomal RNA
Source: RNAcentral
CCUACGGGAGGCAGCAGUGAGGAAUAUUGGUCAAUGGACGAGAGUCUGAACCAGCCAAGUAGCGUGAAGGAUGACUGCCCUAUGGGUUGUAAACUUCUUUUAUAAAGGAAUAAAACGAGGCCCGUGUGCCUUUUUGUAUGUACUUUAUGAAUAAGGAUCGGCUAACUCCGUGCCAGCAGCCGCGGUAAUACGGAGGAUCCGAGCGUUCUCCGGAUUUAUUGGGUUUAAAGGGAGCGUAGAUGGGUUGUUAAGUCAGUUGUGAAAGUUUGCGGCUCAACCGUAAAAUUGCAAUUGAUACUGGCAGUCUUGAGUACAGUUGAGGUAGGCGGAAUGCGUGGUGUAGCGGUGAAAUGCUUAGAUAGCACGAAGAACUCCGAUUGCGAAGGCAGCUUACUAAACUGCCACUGACAUUGAUGCUCGAAAGUGUGGGUAUCAAACAGGAGUAGAUACCCCUGUAGUC